This 1785-nucleotide long non-coding RNA is filed under the name Macaca mulatta (Rhesus monkey). Its description in RNAcentral is "lncRNA (ENSMMUG00000049921.1)". Lineage: Eukaryota; Metazoa; Chordata; Mammalia; Primates; Cercopithecidae. The record is from RNAcentral.
GAGGUGUGGUCAUGGGGUGCAGGUCUGUGUAGGCUGAGGAGCUUGUUCCCCGAGUGAGGGUCUGUGAAGGGUGAGGGCGUGUUCCUGGGGUGGGGGUGUUUGUGAAGGAUGAGAGUUUUUCUGGCAUGAGGGGCUGGUGAAGGGUGAGGGGCGUUUUCCCGGCUUGAGGGUCUGUGAAGAGUGAGAGCCGUGUUGCCGCUGGUGCAGCCCUGCGUUUUCCCCACUUGUACUGCCAGAAAGCUGAGUGGUGGCAGUCACUUUUGGAGUCUUCCUGAGACGAUCCACCAAUAUGAAGUAAACUCGAGGAGGUUUUUCAGUGUCCACACUCAGGGUUAUUUCCCAGCGGAAGCAGGGGAAAAUGCCAUGGGUCAUUGCUCUGCCAGGGCCUCCCUGCACAGAUUCUUAGGUCAAGACAAAGCAUAAACAAUCAACUCCAACAGAAAAAUCUGAAGAACAAUUACAAGGAGUAACUCAGGAGAUUUUCCCAAGAGGCAAUCCAGAGGAGUUUGAGUUUCGAUCAGCUUGCAGGAUUGAGACAGGAGCAGAAUAUUGCUGGAAAAAAUUCACAAUAAAGACCGGGAUGGCCGUGCGCGGUGGCUCACGCCUGUAAUCCCAGCACUUUGGGAGGCUGAGGUGGGCAGAUCAUGAGGUCAGGAGAUUGAGACCAUCCUGGUUAACACCAUGAAACCCCGUCUCUACUAAAAAUACAAAAAAUUAGCUGGGCGUGGUGGCGGGCGCCUGUAGUUCCAGCUACUCAGGAGACUGAGGCAGGAGAAUAGCCAGAACCCGGGAGGCGGAGCUUGCAGUGAGCCGAGACUGCGCCACUGUACUCCAGCCUGCAGCCUGGGCGACACAGCAAGACUCCGUCUCAAAAAACAAACAAAAAAACCCAGGAUGAAGUUAUUUCCCCAAAAGAGAGGUUCGAGGCAAGUGGUCAGCUCCCACUUGAAAAUCAAUGCAGCAGACAAAUACCAGGAAUGUAAUAAAUUGGAGAAAAGUUUGUCUCUGGGCACAAAACCUGUUGUACGUCUGAGGGACAGGCCAGAAGAGAGAGCCAGUAGCUGGAGGAUGGGUGGCUGAGGCUUUCCCUGUGAGUCAUGUCUGAGUGGACAUCAAGCAGUUACCAGUGGGUCAAAGCCCCAUGGAUGUCAUGUGUGUGGGAAGUCUUUCAGCAAGAACUCACACCUUACUUGGCAUCAGAUAAUUCAUACUACAGAGAAGCCUUGUGUAUGUAUUGAAUGUGGGGAAAAAAUCACAACUCAAGCCUUAUACAACAUCAGAAAAUUCACUGUGGAUGGUGAAACCCUAUCUCUACUAAAAAUACAAAAAUUAUCUGGGUGUGGUGGUGCAUGCCCAUAAUCCCAGCUACUCAGGAGGCUGAAGCAGAAGAAUUGCUUGAACUAGGGAGGCGGAGGUUGCAGUGAGCUGAGAUUGCGGCACUGCACUCCAGCCUGCGUGACAGAGUGAGAUUCCGUCUAAAAAAAAAAAAAGGCCAGGCGCGGUGGCUCACGCCUGUAAUCCCAGCACUUUGGGUGGCUGAGGCGGGCAGAUCACAAGGUCAGGAGAUUGAGACUAUCCUGGCGAACACGGUGAAACCCCUUCUCUACUAAAAAUACAAAAAUAAAUUAGCCAGGCAUGGUGGCGGGCGCCUGUAGUCCCAGCUACUUGGGAGGCUGAGGCAGGAGAAUGGCGUGAACCUGGGAGGCGGAGCUUGCAGUGAGCAGAGAUCACGCCACUGCACUCCAGCCUGGGAGACAGUGAGACUCCAUCUCAAAAAAAAAAAAA